CCUACGGGAGGCAGCAGUGAGGAAUAUUGGUCAAUGGACGCAAGUCUGAACCAGCCAUGCCGCGUGCAGGAAGACGGCUCUAUGAGUUGUAAACUGCUUUUGUACGAGGGUAAACGCAGAUACGCGUAUCUGUCUGAAAGUAUCGUACGAAUAAGGAUCGGCUAACUCCGUGCCAGCAGCCGCGGUAAUACGGAGGAUUCAAGCGUUAUCCGGAUUUAUUGGGUUUAAAGGGUGCGUAGGCGGUCGGAUAAGUUAGCGGUGAAAUCCCGGGGCUCAACUUCGGAAUUGCCUCUGAUACUGUUCGGCUAGAGAGUAGUUGCGGUAGGCGGAAUGUAUGGUGUAGCGGUGAAAUGCUUAGAGAUCGUACAGAACACCGAUUGCGAAGGCAGCAUACCAAGCUACUUCUGACGUUGAGGCACGAAAGCGUGGGGAGCAAACAGGAUUAGAUACCCGUGUAGUC
Molecule: ribosomal RNA, 460 nt
Filed under: uncultured bacterium
Lineage: Bacteria
Description: partial 16S ribosomal RNA
Rfam family: Bacterial small subunit ribosomal RNA
Source: RNAcentral